RNAcentral lists this ribosomal RNA (440 nucleotides) under Leptodius sanguineus. RNAcentral describes it as "partial large subunit ribosomal RNA". The stretch from base 319 to 440 matches the Rfam family "Bacterial large subunit ribosomal RNA", at positions 2475 to 2597 of the family's 2925-position model. Lineage: Eukaryota; Metazoa; Arthropoda; Malacostraca; Decapoda; Xanthidae. The record is from RNAcentral.
GUAGCAUAAUCAUUAGAGGUUUAAUUGAAAUCUGGAAUGAAUGGUUGGACAAAGGGAAAACUGUCUUUAUAAUAGAAUUUGAAUUUUAUAUUUAAGUUAAAAAGCUUAAAUGUAUCAGGGGGACGAUAAGACCCUAUAAAGCUUUAUAAAUAAUUUAAAUUUGAUUAAUUUAAAUAUAAAAAUUAUAUUUAAUUAUUUUAUUUUGUUGGGGUGAUGUAAACAUAAUUAUAAUUAACUGUUUAAAUAAAAUACUAUAAUAAAAGAAAUUAAUAUAUAAUGAUCCUUUAUAAAGAUUAAAAGACUAAGUUACUUUAGGGGUAACAGCGUUAUUUCUUUUAAGAGUUCAUAUCGAAAAAGAAGAUUGCGACCUCGAUGUUGAAUUAAAAUAUCUAUAUGAUGCAGCCGUUAUAAAAGAAGGUCUGUUCGACCUUUAAAAUUUU